GAUGAACGCUGGCGGCGUGCUUAACACAUGCAAGUCGAACGGUGAAGGCGGAGCUUGCUCUGCUGGAUCAGUGGCGAACGGGUGAGUAACACGUGAGCAAUCUGCCCCUGACUCUGGGAUAAGCGCUGGAAACGGCGUCUAAUACUGGAUACGAGCUGCGAAGGCAUCUUCAGCAGCUGGAAAGAACUUCGGUCAGGGAUGAGCUCGCAGCCUAUCAGCUUGUUGGUGAGGUAACGGCUCACCAAGGCGUCGACGGGUAGCCGGCCUGAGAGGGUGACCGGCCACACUGGGACUGAGACACGGCCCAGACUCCUACGGGAGGCAGCAGUGGGGAAUAUUGCACAAUGGGCGAAAGCCUGAUGCAGCAACGCCGCGUGAGGGACGACGGCCUUCGGGUUGUAAACCUCUUUUAGCAGGGAAGAAGCGAAAGUGACGGUACCUGCAGAAAAAGCGCCGGCUAACUACGUG
Molecule: ribosomal RNA, 468 nt
Filed under: uncultured bacterium
Lineage: Bacteria
Description: partial 16S ribosomal RNA
Rfam family: Bacterial small subunit ribosomal RNA
Source: RNAcentral